RNAcentral lists this ribosomal RNA (497 nucleotides) under uncultured bacterium. RNAcentral's name for it is "partial 16S ribosomal RNA". It matches the Rfam family "Bacterial small subunit ribosomal RNA", at positions 28 to 507 of the family's 1533-position model. The record is from RNAcentral.
GAUGAACGCUGGCGGCGUGCCUAAUACAUGCAAGUCGAGCGAACAGACGAGGAGCUUGCUCCUCUGACGUUAGCGGCGGACGGGUGAGUAACACGUGGAUAACCUACCUAUAAGACUGGGAUAACUUCGGGAAACCGGAGCUAAUACCGGAUAAUAUAUUGAACCGCAUGGUUCAAUAGUGAAAGACGGUUUUGCUGUCACUUAUAGAUGGAUCCGCGCCGCAUUAGCUAGUUGGUAAGGUAACGGCUUACCAAGGCAACGAUGCGUAGCCGACCUGAGAGAGUGAUCGGCCACACUGGAACUGAGACACGGUCCAGACUCCUACGGGAGGCAGCAGUAGGAAAUCUUCCGCAAUGGGCGAAAGCUUGACGGAGCAACGCCGCGUGAGUGAUGAAGGUCUUCGGAUCGUAAAGCUCUGUUAUUAGGGAAGAACAAAUGUGUAAGUAACUAUGCACGUCUUGACGGUACCUAAUCAGAAAGCCACGGCUAACUACGUG